RNAcentral lists this non-coding RNA (24 nucleotides) under Arabidopsis thaliana (thale cress). Lineage: Eukaryota; Viridiplantae; Streptophyta; Magnoliopsida; Brassicales; Brassicaceae. The record is from RNAcentral.
UGAGUUAUGGGUUGACCCAACCCA